Molecule: RNA transcript, 4129 nt
Organism: Zalophus californianus (California sea lion)
Lineage: Eukaryota; Metazoa; Chordata; Mammalia; Carnivora; Otariidae
Gene name: serine/threonine-protein kinase VRK2-like
Exons: 5
Source: RefSeq, a predicted model, not a curated record
UUUCUAAUUUAUUAUUAAAUUACAUAACAAAGCUUCUUCUAUACAGUCAGAAAAUGCAUUUAGAUGAGAACAAAAAUUAAGUACAAAUACAAUAAAUCUGGUUCCAAGAAGCGAUUUUAAAAGCAAAAAAAAAUAAGAAAGUGCAUUUGGAAUAGAUUUUUAAAAAUCUGUAUUGGCAUUUUUCAUGAGGAAACAUCUUUCAUCAUGGUAAAGUGUGACUGGAAUUGAUUUCCCUCCUUCUCUAAGAGCUAAUAGGAUGGGAACAGAUGCAAAUACUCUCAUACUAAAGUGAGACGUUAGGUACAAAGAAAAUGAGAAAGAUCCCCUCAAGACAUGGCUCAGCUUUGUCCCAGCUUUUUAUCCAAUAAACAUCCUUCAGAGUCACUUAGUCCUUCCUUAUUUUCUUUUCCCAGAGAAGCUUAAGGAUAUGCAGGUUUAUAAAAGAAUGACAAGCUUGGUUUAUAAAGACCAUGAUGAAAAGCCCUGCAUCUGAGUAGAGACCAGGCUAAACAACCUCUGACCCAAAAGGAGAAUGGAGCGCAGUCAUUUUACUUUUCUGAGUGGAAUCCAUUUGUGCACUAGUUACCUUUGCCACAGACUUUGGUAUCAUCCUAGACAUGGCCAUUUAUCCUCCACAGCAGGUUAGAGAACUGGGUCAAUUUCUAAGAAAUCAUAUCUGGCUAAUGAUCAAACAUGAGGUAUUAGAAAACCAGAAAGGUUAGUCCAGUUCUUUAAAGUCCUUUUCAUCAGGUUGAGAUUAUUAACAGUGAAAUAGGAAAUCAAUGGUGGGAAUGCAAGUCCAAGGUGCCUCAGUUCCAUAGAAGCCAAAAGUCAUGACAUCAAAAGGCUCAAUAAGUACAUUUUCCUAGUCAGAUGUAUUUAGCAUCCAGUAGGAAAGAAUUAAAGUAAAUAUUAUUUGGUUUCAGGUAUAAAAAGUGCCCGCGUGAUGUCUCCUCUCUUCACUUGUCUUAAUUCUUAGAAUUUUACUUCCAUGCCUGAUCUGCAGUAGGGAAAAAGGAAUUCUCUAUACAAGUGAAUUUUGGUACAAAGGAGGGAGGAAUAGUGAAGAAGGAAAGCCCUUUUCUAACACUAGAAAAAUAAAGGGUGAGCAAUGCAGGUUACAGGAAAUCCUUCAGCAUCCUUAAAAACACUAAGAAGAACAUAGAGAGAGCCAGGACAGAUCAACUGAAGAACUUGGGAGAUCUGGGUUUGAACUUAGUCAAUUAAACAUUUUUAACUAAAGUUAUCAGCACACAUUAAAACAAAAUCUCAGAAGUAUAUUUUUGGGAAUUUUGUCCUUUGUGUUGCCACGGUCUCUCAUACUUCUUAGUGAAAACGAUAGUUCUGAAUAGUUACUAAAAUGAUCCCAAAGGAAAGAUCCAUUAUUAUAUAAGACAAUGGCCGAGGGAGAAUAAUUUCCCCUAAGAGGCAACUUCCUUCUGACCUCCCAGCUCUAACAAGCAACUUACAGUUGGCCCCUGAGCCUAGCAGCAGGUCUGUAAGGGCAGAAGGAAAGGGGAGGAAACCAGGAUGGUUAAAAAAAAAAAAAAAAAAAAAAGUUAAAUGGCACGAAACAAAGAGUUCAAAUCAGCUAUCAUGGGAUUCAAAUCCUCUUCUUGUAAAUGGCAUACUUCUAUUUCCUUAUUCCAGGGCCUGUGUCUGUGAAUGAAGGAACCGUAAGAGAUCAGGGUGUGAAAGUGGUGGCUGUCAAGAGUCCCCGGAGACAUUCCAUCAAUGGAAAGCAUACAGCAGCAACAGGAUGGUACAGACACCAAUAACACCGCCCAGGAUGAGGGAGUCUCGCCGCUUCCUAAGAUUGAUCCGCUGGAUCAGGCUGUUCACAGCAGGAAAACGAUCUUUGUUACAACUCAUCUACAUGUAUGGCUGUCUCCUUCCUUCUCCUUCUAAGCACCUGCCACUGACUUAAUUCUCCAAACUGGAAAAAGAAAAAGCAUGUCACUUACCAUGUUGAGGAAACUACUAAAGAACGUGACCCAGCAUAAUGGGGGAAUAAACUAAGAAUAUGGAAGACACUAAAUUCAAGAAACAGGAGAUCCAAUGAAGGAGGUUAUUUGAAGGCAACAGGAAAGGGCCCCCAGGACCAGGGCCGGGGAGCAGGCCUGGAGAACAACCAGGUUGGGGGAAACCCAGGGCCGGGCCAGCCCUCUCUCCUUCCCGGUCCUGGGCGUCGGGUGGAGCGGCACUUCUGCGCCCCGCACUCCGCCUGCCCCACCGCGCCACGGGAGGAGCUGCCAUUGCGAAGUGAUGCCACCAAGAAAUGAGAAAUACAAACUUUCUGUUCCACUUCCAGAAGGCAAGGUUCUGGAUGAUAUGGAAGGAAAGCAAUGGAUGCUGGGCAAAAUGACUGGCUCUGGAGGAUUUGGACUGAUAUAUUUAGCUUUUCCCGCAAAUAAACCAGAUAAAGAUGCAAGACAUGUAGUAAAAGUGGAAUAUCAAGAAAAUGGCCCUUUAUUUUCAGAACUUAAGAAUUCCUCUGUUUUAUGGAUCCAGUAUUACUGAAUUCAAGGGAGGAAGUUACAGAUUUAUGGUAAUGGAAAAGCUAGGAAUAGAUUUACCGAAGAUCUCAGACCAGAAUGGUACUUUUAAAAAGUCAACUGUCCUGCAGCUAGGUAUCCGAAUGUUCGAUGUACUGGAAUAUACACAUGAAAAUGAAUAUGUUCAUGGUGAUAUAAAAGCAGCAAAUCUAUUGUUAGGUUACAGAAAUCCUGAUCGGGUUUAUCUUGCAGAUUACGGACUUUGCUACAGAUAUUGUCCCAAUGGGAACCACAAAGAGUAUCAGGAAAAUCCUAGAAAAGGCCAUAAUAGGACAAUAUAGUUUACCAGCGUGGAUGCCCACAAGGGAGUAGAUUUGGUAAAGGUGCACAUAGGGAGAUUUAUUCCUGUUUUUCACCAGGCCCUUAUCAGAGUUUUAGAAGAUACCAUCUCUCAACAAUAAGGAAAUCUUUUCUGAAACUACAAAGUGUUAACUUGUGGAAAUCUCUCCUAGUCGCCUUUCAUAUAGCUUACUUAUUUAAACUCACUUUGAUGGUAUUGCAAACACAUUUGCAGGUAAAUUACAUACAUAGUCCUUUUACUGGAUAUUGAUUGUACUGCAUUCCAAGGCAGACUUAAUUCAACAAUUCCCUAACUAGUUAAAGUCAUAACCUAUGUCUUGUAUUCAUUUACCAUUAAUUAAACCUUAGCUGUUUAUUACACUGCAGUCCAAAACCAAUAGCCAACCCAGAAAGCCAUGGAAAAGGAAGUAGGAGGUCAAUACUGAAAAUAUAUGGUGCAGAGUCCCACUGAUGGUUGCUUUGUUCACAAUCAAUAUGGUCAAUGCAACUGUACUUUCUUAGUUGCUCUGUCAGCAAGACAAAAAGUAAAUUCUAAUGUUAUGCUAGUAAAAAAAAAAAUGGUGAUUAUUGAAAAAGUUUGCCUUUCAAAAUUAUAUUCCUUGUAACUUUAUUUAUAAAAGUAUUUUCAAAUAUGCUAAACCAUAUGAAUAAUUUAAAAACAGCUUUGAAAGGACCCCAUGUCACUAAAAGGCAAUUAGACAUUUGCACUUGUUAAUGGCUGUUGAACUGUUACCCUAAACUGAUACCUUCUGGCAAGUUGUAGUUGGUGCAAACAACCAUGUAUUAUUGCCUUUUCUAUUAAAAGGACCACUGACCAUGUAAAAGAAAAAAAAAGAGUCAAUAAAAUUUCACCUUGAUACCUACCAGAUUUUGAAAUAAAGGGAAAUAGUAAAAUAAAAAAACCUUAUAAUUACAUUUUUUUGUUUAACUAGCAAAAUAGCAGUAGCAGUGAUUCAAUGGUUCUCAAAUGUUCUUAUACUCGAAGUAUUCCAAAUUUUUAUACUCAUAAUUACCAGCCCUUAAGUAGGCCAGCUUUGAGUUGAAAAGCUUAAUUAAGGCAGCCUGGUCCAAAGAAGAUCAGGUAGAAACAGGAGGAAAUAAAAGGAAGAAAAAAAGGAAAAGGAUAAUAGGGAAACUUUAAGUAAAAAAUCCUUGGCAAGGGGCGCCCGGGUGGCUCAGUCGUUGGGCGUCUGCCUUCGGCUCAGGUCAUGAUCCCAGGGUCCUGGGAUCGAGCCCCGCGUCGGGCUCCCUGCUCAGCGGGAAGCCUGCUUCUC